AAUCAACGCUGGCGGCGCGCCUAACACAUGCAAGUCGAGCGAGAAAGGGAGCAAUCCUGAGUAAAGCGGCGCACGGGUGAGUAACACGUGGAUGAUCUACCCUAUGGUGGGGAAUAACCUUGGGAAACCGAGGCUAAUACCGCAUAAGUUCGAGAGAAGAAAGCCGCAAGGCGCCAUUGGAGGAGUCCGCGGCCGAUUAGCUAGUUGGUGGGGUAAAAGCUCACCAAGGCGACGAUCGGUAGCCGGCCUGAGAGGGCACACGGCCACACUGGCACUGAAACACGGGCCAGACUCCUACGGGAGGCAGCAGUGGGGAAUCUUGCACAAUGGGGGAAACCCUGAUGCAGCGACGCCGCGUGAGUGAUGAAGCCCUUCGGGGUGUAAAGCUCUUUCGGCAGGGACGAUAAUGACGGUACCUGCAGAAGAAGCUGCGGCUAACUACGUGCCAGCAGCCGCGGUAAUACGUAGGCAGCAAGCGUUGUUCGGAAUUACUGGGCGUAAAGAGUGCGUAGGCGGUUUGGCAAGUUUGGUGUGAAAUCUCCCGGCUUAACUGGGAGGGUGCGCCGAAAACUGCCAGGCUAGAGUGUGGGAGAGGAAAGUGGAAUUCCUGGUGUAGCGGUGAAAUGCGUAGAUAUCAGGAGGAACACCUGCGGUGUAGACGGCUUUCUGGACCACUACUGACGCUGAGGCACGAAAGCGUGGGGAGCAAACAGGAUUAGAUACCCUGGUAGUCCACGCCCUAAACGAUGCAGACUUGGUGUUGGCCCUUCAUUGGGUCAGUGCCGCAGCUAACGCGGUAAGUCUGCCGCCUGGGGAGUACGGUCGCAAGGCUG
This 833-nucleotide ribosomal RNA is filed under the name uncultured bacterium. Its description in RNAcentral is "bacterial SSU rRNA". It matches the Rfam family "Bacterial small subunit ribosomal RNA", at positions 28 to 896 of the family's 1533-position model. The record is from RNAcentral.